Molecule: unclassified non-coding RNA, 296 nt
Organism: Erinaceus europaeus (western European hedgehog)
Lineage: Eukaryota; Metazoa; Chordata; Mammalia; Eulipotyphla; Erinaceidae
Gene: 7SK
Rfam family: 7SK RNA
About the family: 7SK was discovered as an abundant small nuclear RNA in the mid-70s but a possible function has only recently been suggested. Two independent studies have found that 7SK RNA binds the CDK9/cyclin T complex (known as elongation factor P-TEFb). P-TEFb activates transcription by phosphorylating the C-terminal domain of RNA polymerase II.
Source: Ensembl
GGAUGUGAGGGGAUCUAACUGCAAUGUCUGUCACCCCACAGGUCGUCAGGGUCAAUUUGGCUGAUCUUGCUGGCUGAGUGGGUGGCCCCUUCCUCCCUCACCGCUCCAAGUGCAUCACUUCUGUAACUGCGCACUUGAUCAAAGAGGACGGCCUUUCCCGAAUAGAGAUAGACCGGUUUUUGUCUAGUAGCUGUGCUCCCCUGAUAGAACCUCCAGACAAGCUUACAAAGGGUCCAUGCUCAGUUUGCCACAAUGUGUCAGAAAGAGGGAGUAAGGGCUUGGGUGGCCCUGGAAGU